AGGAGAAUAGCUGGGUCAAAUGGUGGUUCCAUCCAUUCCCAGCUUUCCAAGGAAUCUCCAUACUGCUUUCCAAAUUGGCCACACCAAUUUGCAGCUCCACCAGCAAU
RNAcentral lists this microRNA precursor (107 nucleotides) under Marmota monax (woodchuck). Lineage: Eukaryota; Metazoa; Chordata; Mammalia; Rodentia; Sciuridae. The record is from RNAcentral.